RNAcentral lists this ribosomal RNA (403 nucleotides) under uncultured bacterium. RNAcentral describes it as "bacterial SSU rRNA". It matches the Rfam family "Bacterial small subunit ribosomal RNA", at positions 355 to 774 of the family's 1533-position model. The record is from RNAcentral.
UCGGGAAUAUUGCGCAAUGGAGGAAACUCUGACGCAGUGACGCCGCGUGCAGGAAGAAGGUUUUCGGAUUGUAAACUGCUUUAGACAGGGAAGAAACAAGACAGUACCUGUAGAAUAAGCUCCGGCUAACUACGUGCCAGCAGCCGCGGUAAUACGUAGGGAGCAAGCGUUAUCCGGAUUUAUUGGGUGUAAAGGGUGCGUAGACGGGAAAUCAAGUUGGUUGUGAAAUCCCUCGGCUUAACUGAGGAACUGCAACCAAAACUAAUUUUCUUGAGUGCUGGAGAGGAAAGUGGAAUUCCUAGUGUAGCGGUGAAAUGCGUAGAUAUUAGGAGGAACACCAGUGGCGAAGGCGACUUUCUGGACAGUAACUGACGUUGAGGCACGAAAGUGUGGGGAGCAAACA